This 72-nucleotide transfer RNA is filed under the name Camelus bactrianus (Bactrian camel). It matches the Rfam family "tRNA". From Rfam's summary of the family: Transfer RNA (tRNA) molecules are approximately 80 nucleotides in length. Their secondary structure includes four short double-helical elements and three loops (D, anti-codon, and T loops). RNAcentral also lists the same sequence under 2 other names. The record is from Rfam by way of RNAcentral. Lineage: Eukaryota; Metazoa; Chordata; Mammalia; Artiodactyla; Camelidae.
GAGGGUAUAGCUCAGUAGUAGAGUGCAUGCUUAGCAUGCACAAGGUCCUGGGUUCAAUCCCCGGCACCGCCA